UACGUAGGGUGCAAGCGUUAUCCGGAAUUAUUGGGCGUAAAGAGCUCGUAGGCGGUUUGUCGCGUCUGCUGUGAAAACUGGAGGCUCAACCUCCAGCCUGCAGUGGGUACGGGCAGACUAGAGUGCGGUAGGGGGAGAUUGGAAUUCCUGGUGUAGCGGUGGAAUGCGCAGAUAUCAGGAGGAACACCGAUGGCGAAGGCAGAUCUCUGG
RNAcentral lists this ribosomal RNA (210 nucleotides) under uncultured bacterium. RNAcentral's name for it is "partial 16S ribosomal RNA". It matches the Rfam family "Bacterial small subunit ribosomal RNA", at positions 524 to 732 of the family's 1533-position model. The record is from RNAcentral.